Molecule: long non-coding RNA, 399 nt
Filed under: Nicotiana benthamiana
Lineage: Eukaryota; Viridiplantae; Streptophyta; Magnoliopsida; Solanales; Solanaceae
Description: long non-coding RNA (NBEN_LNC011600)
Source: RNAcentral
UCAUGGAUCAGAUCCAGCAGUUGUGCUCUUAUUUGAUCCAUCGUUGCUCAAUUUUGUCGUGGAGUACAAAAUUAUCUGUGCAUUUCCAUCCACAGAUUUUGGUGAGGCAACUGAGUUUGAGAUAUAUUCCUCCAAAGAGGGUUCCUGGGAAAUUGCCGGAGAGAUCUGCUUUGCCGUAGAGUACAAAAUUAUCUGUGCAUUUCCAUCCACAGAUUUUGAUGAGGCAACAGAGUUUGAGAUAUAUUCCUCCAAAGAGGGUACCUGGGAAAUUGCCGGAGAGAUCUGUUUUGGAGCUUGGAGGGUUAUACCAAAAUCGGGGGUUCAUGUUAAUGGUGUUGUUUACUGGAUGACAACUGGUAGUAUUCUUGCUUUUGAUCUAACCAAAGAGAGGUCACAGCU